RNAcentral lists this ribosomal RNA (429 nucleotides) under Bacillota bacterium. RNAcentral's name for it is "Firmicutes bacterium partial 16S ribosomal RNA". It matches the Rfam family "Bacterial small subunit ribosomal RNA", at positions 355 to 776 of the family's 1533-position model. The record is from RNAcentral. Lineage: Bacteria; Bacillati; Bacillota.
UGGGGAAUAUUGGACAAUGGGCGCAAGCCUGAUCCAGCCAUGCCGCGUGUGUGAAGAAGGCCUUUUGGUUGUAAAGCACUUUAAGCGAGGAGGAGGCUACUUGGAUUAAUACUCUAGGAUAGUGGACGUUACUCGCAGAAUAGCACCGGCUAACUCUGUGCCAGCAGCCGCGGUAAUACAGAGGGUGCGAGCGUUAAUCGGAUUUACUGGGCGUAAAGCGUGCGUAGGCGGCUUCUUAAGUCGGAUGUGAAAUCCCUGAGCUUAACUUAGGAAUUGCAUUCGAUACUGGGAAGCUAGAGUAUGGGAGAGGAUGGUAGAAUUCCAGGUGUAGCGGUGAAAUGCGUAGAGAUCUGGAGGAAUACCGAUGGCGAAGGCAGCCAUCUGGCCUAAUACUGACGCUGAGGUACGAAAGCAUGGGGAGCAAACAGG